UAUCCUGGCUCAGGAUGAACGCUAGCGGCAGGCCUAAUACAUGCAAGUCGAACGAGAUUGGAGGGCUUGCUCUCCAUGAAAGUGGCGCACGGGUGCGUAACGCGUAUGCAACCUACCUUAAUCAGGGGGAUAGCCUCUCGAAAGAGAGAUUAACACCGCAUAAAAUCACAGUACAGCAUUGUACAAUGAUCAAAUAUUUAUAGGAUUAAGAUGGGCAUGCGUGACAUUAGCUAGUUGGUAAGGUAACGGCUUACCAAGGCAACGAUGUCUAGGGGAUCUGAGAGGAUGACCCCCCACACUGGUACUGAGACACGGACCAGACUCCUACGGGAGGCAGCAGUAAGGAAUAUUGGUCAAUGGGCGCAAGCCUGAACCAGCCAUGCCGCGUGCAGGAAGACGGCCCUACGGGUUGUAAACUGCUUUUGUACGGGAAUAAACCUCUUUACGUGUAAAGAGUUGAAUGUACUGUAAGAAUAAGGAUCGGCUAACUCCGUG
This 495-nucleotide ribosomal RNA is filed under the name uncultured Sphingobacteriaceae bacterium. RNAcentral describes it as "bacterial SSU rRNA". It matches the Rfam family "Bacterial small subunit ribosomal RNA", at positions 15 to 507 of the family's 1533-position model. Lineage: Bacteria; Pseudomonadati; Bacteroidota; Sphingobacteriia; Sphingobacteriales; Sphingobacteriaceae. The record is from RNAcentral.